This 253-nucleotide ribosomal RNA is filed under the name uncultured bacterium. Its description in RNAcentral is "partial 16S ribosomal RNA". It matches the Rfam family "Bacterial small subunit ribosomal RNA", at positions 524 to 776 of the family's 1533-position model. The record is from RNAcentral.
UACAGAGGUCCCAAGCGUUGUUCGGAUUCACUGGGCGUAAAUGGUGCGUAGGUGGUGAGGUAAGUCGGAUGUGAAAUCUCUGGGCUCAACCCGGAAAUGGCAUUGGAAACUACCUUGCUUGAGGGUUUGAGGGGGGAUUGGAAUACUUGGUGUAGCAGUGAAAUGCGUAGAUAUCAAGGGGAACACCAGUGGCGAAGGCGAAUCCCUGGAAAAUACCUGACACUGAGGCACGAAAGCUAGGGGAGCGAACGGG